CUUUCUUUGCUGGCGACCGGCGCACGGGUGAGUAACACGUAUCCAACCUGCCCUUUACUCGGGGAUAGCCUUUCGAAAGAAAGAUUAAUACCCGAUAGCAUAAUGAUUCCGCAUGGUUUCAUUAUUAAAGGAUUCCGGUAAAGGAUGGGGAUGCGUUCCAUUAGGUUGUUGGUGGGGUAACGGCCCACCAAGCCUUCGAUGGAUAGGGGUUCUGAGAGGAAGGUCCCCCACAUGGAACUGAGACACGGUCCAA
RNAcentral lists this ribosomal RNA (253 nucleotides) under uncultured bacterium. Its description in RNAcentral is "partial 16S ribosomal RNA". It matches the Rfam family "Bacterial small subunit ribosomal RNA", at positions 79 to 334 of the family's 1533-position model. The record is from RNAcentral.